AUUCUUCCCUUGUGUACAUUUUUGCUAAUGGCAAAAGGGGGAAGAAACGGGAUAUCAAGAAGUAUGCUAUACUUCAUUCAUGCUUAAAGUGAGGGGGAACAUGAAUUGAGGGGGAACAUCAAAUUGCAUACUUUACACUUGUCUUGGAUUAUAAAUAAUUAUUGCAUAUAUCCCGCUUAUGUUUGCCAUUAUCAAAAAGGGGGAAAUUGUUGGAAACACGUUUCAAAUGCAAUAUACUAAACGUGUGUUCUUNNN
This 255-nucleotide long non-coding RNA is filed under the name Nicotiana benthamiana. Its description in RNAcentral is "long non-coding RNA (NBEN_LNC026684)". Lineage: Eukaryota; Viridiplantae; Streptophyta; Magnoliopsida; Solanales; Solanaceae. The record is from RNAcentral.